UAAAAGGGCCUUUGCUGUCAGUAGCACUUCAUGAGCUAUCAUGUAGCAGAAUCGCAAUCAAGAGAUUUUGGAGGCAUAAUGUUUAGAAGUUGUGGCAGCUAGUGCUCAUUUAGCCUGGCGCCCUG
This 125-nucleotide small nuclear RNA is filed under the name Haliotis rufescens (red abalone). Its description in RNAcentral is "U11 spliceosomal RNA". It matches the Rfam family "U11 spliceosomal RNA". The record is from RNAcentral. Lineage: Eukaryota; Metazoa; Mollusca; Gastropoda; Lepetellida; Haliotidae.